RNAcentral lists this ribosomal RNA (438 nucleotides) under uncultured bacterium. Its description in RNAcentral is "bacterial SSU rRNA". It matches the Rfam family "Bacterial small subunit ribosomal RNA", at positions 335 to 766 of the family's 1533-position model. The record is from RNAcentral.
ACUCCUACGGGAGGCAGCAGUGGGAAUAUUGGGCAAUGGGCGCAAGCCUGACCCAGCCAUGCCGCGUGUGUGAAGAAGGCCCUAGGGUUGUAAAGCACUUUAAGCGGGAGGAAAGGAUGUGCGUUAAUAGCGUACAUCUGUGACGUUACCCGCAGAAUAAGCACCGGCUAACUCCGUGCCAGCAGCCGCGGUAAUACGGAGGGUGCAAGCGUUAAUCGGAAUUACUGGGCGUAAAGCGCGCGUAGGCGGUUUGUUAAGCGAGAUGUGAAAGCCCCGGGCUUAACCUGGGAACUGCAUUUCGAACUGGCAAGCUAGAGUACAAGAGAGGGUGGUGGAAUUUCCAGUGUAGCGGUGAAAUGCGUAGAGAUUGGAAGGAACAUCAGUGGCGAAGGCGGACCACCUGGCUUGAUACUGACGCUGAGGUGCGAAAGCGUGGGG